RNAcentral lists this ribosomal RNA (318 nucleotides) under uncultured eukaryote. RNAcentral's name for it is "partial 18S ribosomal RNA". It matches the Rfam family "Eukaryotic small subunit ribosomal RNA", at positions 1470 to 1796 of the family's 1831-position model. The record is from RNAcentral.
CCCUUAGAUGUUCUGGGCAGCACGCGCGCUACAAUGGUCUUCGCAAACGGAUGCAUUCUCGAAGGAGAAUGCCAAUCUUGGAAUCUAUGCCUUGGUCGGGACAGUUGCUUGCAAUUUUUCGACUCGAACCAGGAAUUCCUUGUAAUCGUGAUUCAUCACAUCACGAUGAAUACGUCCCUGCCUUUGUACACACCGCCCGUCGCUCCUACCGAUCGAAGAGUUAGGUGAAUUGUUUUGAUCGAUAAGAUUUGACUAUGGUCAACUCUCGUUGUGAAAUUCUGUGAAUCUGACUGUUUAGAGGAAGGAAAAGUCGUAACA